UCAAACUCUGCGGAUAUUUACCUAAAACUUCCAGACCAGUGCAAUUCCGGCUGUUUGAAGACCAUCAAAGCCUAAGUCCCCUGCUGACAGAUGAUGCAGCUGGUAAAAUUUAGCAAUGAAUACACAAGAACACUUACAGAUUUCACUGGUAUUUCUGUAACACGGGAUAGGCUACAACACGAAGGCAGUUUCAGACGUUUUAAGCUUUAAGCACAUGACAACAGCAAUAAUUAUUUGCAGGCUACAAUUACUAGUACUAGCAGACUCAUUUCCUCAUGGGGAAAAAGAGAUUUUAAUGUUUCUUAUGUUCUAAGUAUUUAUAAAAUUAUCGAAAGUCAUGUAAGAAAAGGUUCUCCAGCUGCACCUGAUUAUUCAUUGCACAGGAAAACCCUGUGCAAACACAGUCAGCUGUGUAACGUACAGGACAGCAUUCGGUUCAGCAGAAAAACAAGGAAGAAAAUCUUUUGAAGAGGAAUUAAUGACAUACUCUUGGUUUUAUUUCUUCCCCUCGCUCCCCUCCUUUAUCUUUAGGUGGCUUGAGCUUAAAGUAUGCAUACAUGGAGCUUACUCUAGUCUUAGACUCCUAGAGUCAAGACCCUUAGUCUUGAAAUAAAACAUGUUACAAAAUAAGAUGUCUUCCUUGCACAAACCUCCAUGUAUUUAUUAGUGUGGCCAUAGCCUUUACAUAUAAAAGCGCACAGAAAAGUAAAUUCGUGCAUAAAGUCAAAUCUGCUGUUGAUGCCAGAAUUUAAGAAUGCUGCGUCCACGUCAUAGUCCCUACAGAAACUGAUUGUCAGCUGGCUUCCAGGUGUCACUAGGAGGAACCAUCAGAGCCAAGGCAACGCCAACACUUGAAAAGUUAUCUGCAAAUGUAUUUAAAGUGUUGCUCAGCAUACUCAGGAUAUUCUUGGAUGUCAUUCAUCUGCAAUUACAAGGUGAAGGAUACACUGCUCUAAAGCUGGGAGUGGUGGUGGUGUCAGCGUCACCACAACUACCGAGAGACCACCAAGUUCCUCCUGCAUCUAAAUUCAGCAGAGCACGCCAGACAAACGCAUGCAGUUUCCAGGUUAAAACAUGUGGGAUAAGCGAGAGACAAGUAAGAGAACUCACCAGCUCCUGCCGAGUUCCCAGACAGCUCGAAGCAGACUUUUGCAAUUUAAAAAAAAAAAAAAGUUCAGUAAUUCUCAUGAAAAUAGUGUUAAAAACAAUUAAAAUAAGCUUCAGUCUGAAUGUGUGGUGUGGCAAUCUGUGCCUAUAGUCCAUCACAGAAGGGGAACUUGCCUAUCCUGCAUCCUUUGUUCGGAAGGCCAAGCACAACACCUAACUCUGCCAGUCCCGUUUUGCCCCGCUGUUCUUUGCAAACACAUUUUACCUUACGUUCCCUGCUGAAGGGAAAAAAAGUUUCAUUAUGGCUAUGUUUAUAGGAAGAAGUAUCAACAACCAGUGAAGGAAUGUGAAUAAACCCAAGCAAAGAGCUCCA
Molecule: long non-coding RNA, 1480 nt
Filed under: Anser brachyrhynchus (Pink-footed goose)
Lineage: Eukaryota; Metazoa; Chordata; Aves; Anseriformes; Anatidae
Description: lncRNA (ENSABRG00000000280.1)
Source: RNAcentral